Cyprinus carpio (common carp) is the source of this 826-nucleotide long non-coding RNA. RefSeq lists it as uncharacterized. Lineage: Eukaryota; Metazoa; Chordata; Actinopteri; Cypriniformes; Cyprinidae. The record is from RefSeq and is a predicted model, not a curated record.
UUGUACAAAGAGUGGUAGAGCAGGGUGUCCAGUGGCAGCUCUCCCACACUCGCUCCGCUCCUCCUCAUCCAGUGUCGGAGCCAGACUGCAGCUCAGGCUUUUUAUCAUUUAACUGCAGGGAUAGAUGAUGGUAAUGAAGACGGCUCCUCGCUGUCUGCUCCUCAUGGGGUAACAUCAGCACAUGUGUCAGAUGGAAGGAAUGCUAAUCUGGAAGAGGUGCAGAGCUUGGACUUUUUGGCAGCCAGUUUCCACUCUGCACUUACUUUCCAUGUGGUGCCGCUCCAGAGGCUCCGGGCGGGAGAAGCCUGUUUGGGGAACGGAGGUGUUGACGGAUCCCAGAUCGCCCCAUUGGCCACACCCCCCAUCUGAGGGUCACGGCUCUGAAGGACAACUGACCUGAACUUCUGUUCCAGUACCACUUCCAAAUCUGUAGUUCAUAUUAAGGUCUAGAAUGGAGGAUCAUGAUUUCUCAAUGGAGAUGUUAAAUGUGUGAGACCUAAGAUUGCUGAUCUUCACCUGUCAACAGGUUUUACACCAGAGAGCUGUUUGUUUGCACUCUACAAACUCUGAAUGCUAAAUUUAUCAGCUACUCAGUACUGGGUUUAAACUGUGGAACAGCAGCUGUUUAUAUUAGAUCAGCACAGGGUUAUUAUAAUUAACUAAAAUGAAAACCAUAAAAAACAUAAAUAAAUAAAAAUAAAUUUUAACUGAAAAAAAAAAAGUUUAAUUUCAGCUAGUUUCCAAAGCAACAUUUCUCAAUUUUUAGUUUAACUAGAUGUACUAAAAGUAAAAUAAAAAUGUAUAAAACUGAAAUGACAAAAGCCAA